Molecule: long non-coding RNA, 399 nt
Organism: Prunus dulcis (almond)
Lineage: Eukaryota; Viridiplantae; Streptophyta; Magnoliopsida; Rosales; Rosaceae
Exons: 3
Source: RefSeq, a predicted model, not a curated record
AACCAUUUUCUUGCAUUUUUUGGUUCUUGAGUAAUCCCUAUUGCUAUAUAAGAGGAGUUGAGGUAUUUAAAUUUCACAACAUAUUGGGUUCUAUCAGGAAGGGGAUUGAAUCUCACAGAUUAGCUCAGGAUCAAGACCUCCAUCAAAGAGAAGAAAAAUUAUGAAGAAAGUGCAAAACAAAGCUCGCCCAAUUAAAUAGCAUGCUGUACAAAACUAUCCAACUUUUGCUAUUUUGAUGCCUACUUCCUACUAUAAACAUCUCAAUGUAUAUACAAACAAGUGUAGUAUUUUAACAUAACAAGUAGCCUGUAAAAUAUGUUAUUACAUGCUUUUUUGCAACUUACACUCCUUUAGUUAAACAUAAUGUUAUAAAUUAAAUCUCAUUGUAUAUAUAAACAA